GAUGAACGCUGGCGGCGUGCCUAAUACAUGCAAGUCGAGCGAACGGACGAGAAGCUUGCUUUUCUGAUGUUAGCGGCGGACGGGUGAGUAACACGUGGAUAACCUACCUAUAAGACUGGGAUAACUUCGGGAAACCGGAGCUAAUACCGGAUAAUAUUUUGAACCGCAUGGUUCAAAAGUGAAAGACGGUCUUGCUGUCACUUAUAGAUGGAUCCGCGCUGCAUUAGCUAGUUGGUAAGGUAACGGCUUACCAAGGCAACGAUGCAUAGCCGACCUGAGAGGGGGAUCGGCGACACGGGAACGGAGACACGGUCCAGACGCCUACGGGAGGCAGCAGUAGGGAAUCUUCCGCAAUGGGCGAAAGCCUGACGGAGCAACGCCGCGUGAGUGAUGAAGGUCUUCGGAUCGUAAAACUCUGUUAUUAGGGAAGAACAUAUGUGUAAGUAACUGUGCACAGCUUGACGGUACCUAAUCAGAAAGCCACGGCUAACUACGUG
RNAcentral lists this ribosomal RNA (497 nucleotides) under uncultured bacterium. Its description in RNAcentral is "partial 16S ribosomal RNA". It matches the Rfam family "Bacterial small subunit ribosomal RNA", at positions 28 to 507 of the family's 1533-position model. The record is from RNAcentral.